ACUCACACACCCAAAUUUCUUUCCUUCACUGCCCUUGAAAGAAACCUAACAGACUCUCACAAUCAAACCAGGAGUGAGAUUUCACCUUCCUAUUGAAUGCUUCGGUUUCUAAUAGAUGAUUCAGUUCCUUCAUUCAUGUUUCAAUUCAUGUUCAAUCGAUUCAUUGCAGAGAUUACUUCAUCUUCCCCUUUAUAAUCGAACUCCAGUUGUCUCAAUUUCUCAAACCAAAUCAAACCUUGGAUUUGAAGAUAUGGGAUGGAGUUAUAGGAUGGAUUUUAUGUUUCCCGUCUUCUACGUGACCCCACGAUCACGUCACAUAAUAUCUAUAAUAUAUGAAUAGAGAGCAGAUGGAGAAGAGGAAGAAAGCAUCUUCGUUAAGGUGGGGAAUUCUUUGUGGAGCCCUAAUUUCUUCUCCAUCUUCCACCGACUCAGGGUCUCUGGUUGAUUGGCGGUAGCCGAAGGGGCGAUUUGAGCAGGAUAAAUAUAGUGGAUUUGAUUAAUGUGGAAGAUGUUGAGCAAAGGUGGCGGUGGUGGUGGAUGGAAUUAGGAAUACUAAGCAAAGACUCGUGGGGUAUAUCAAUCGGAGUAAAGUGAGAAAUCAGAAGAGGUUUUUCAUCUUUUUUGUACAUGCUUCUAUCAAGGUAUGAUGUUUAUGGCAUCCUUAUCUUCUCAUUAGAUUCAAUUUGAUCUCUUUAUGUGAAUUUUUGCUUGAUUAAUUAAUCUUUAUAAUAAUUAAACUUGAUUAGCAUGUUGUGAUAUAAACUUGAUUAUUUCGCUAUAACCGACUCAGGCUUAGAUUUUACCACACACAUUAAGAUGAAAAAAAUAGAAGAAGAAAGAGUGUGUUGUAUUCUCCACAGAUUUAUGACUGCUAUAUCCAACACUAACAGAAAACGAGUCGCGUGGACUUGUAAAUCGUCCUACUCGCUGAACCCGCUUUAUCCAUUACUUUUAUAGCAAAGUAGUUUCCUGUUCUGAUCAACUCAGAAAGAUAAAGACUUCCAUUAUGCCCACACCCCAAUCUUUUCAUCUGUGUAAAAUAUUUCAACCUACCAAGCAGGCACUCGAAAAUUCACUAACUUCUGUGCUGGUGAAGGCUUGAAGCUUUCUUUCGCUUCUGUAAAAUAUGUAUUUGAAUACAUUGUUUUGUGGGGCUGGGCUUGGGUGGAACCCAUGAUGAUCAAAGCGCCCGUUAUCGGUUCGAACACGGGUCUCAUUCACUUCAACAUGUUUUAAGCUGACUAUUUCACAAUC
Helianthus annuus (common sunflower) is the source of this 1254-nucleotide long non-coding RNA. RefSeq lists it as uncharacterized. The transcript is spliced from 3 exons. The record is from RefSeq and is a predicted model, not a curated record. NCBI's taxonomy places the organism in Eukaryota, Viridiplantae, Streptophyta, Magnoliopsida, Asterales, Asteraceae.